Long non-coding RNA from Leptopilina boulardi, 3036 nucleotides. RefSeq lists it as uncharacterized. The transcript has 17 exons. The record is from RefSeq and is a predicted model, not a curated record. NCBI's taxonomy places the organism in Eukaryota, Metazoa, Arthropoda, Insecta, Hymenoptera, Figitidae.
UUAUUUUCUGCUAUUUAUCAAAAAAAAUAUAAUAAAAAUAUAAUAAUAAAAUACAAGGCAUUUUAUUGUUUAUUCAAGCUCCUGUACAAACAUUAAGGGCUUUAAAACUUUCUCCAUAAGCAUUCUAGAUGUAUUUUCAGUCGCUGAUGAAGGAUUUAGGGGAAAAUUGACAAUUUAGCAGUUAAAAAAUGUAAAAAUUAUUUGUCUAAGAAAAAUUGAAGUUUUUUUAAGACGGUUGCCUUAAGCGUGGUAACAGGUGUCUUCCUCUACUCGGAUCGGGCUGUCAAAUUUUUUCUACACUUUUAGGUGUAUUUUGUGCAAGAAAUUGCAAUAAAAUAGUCUGCCUAAGAAAAAUUGAAAUUUUUGAAAAAUUUUUUUUUUUGAAAAACGAUUUAAAGGUCAAAAUCUGUGUCUUCCUCUACUCGGAUCUGGCUGUUAAAUUUUUUCUACACUUUUAGGUGUAUUUUGUGCAAGAAAUUGCAAUAAAAUAGUCUGCCUAAGAAAAAUUGAAAUUUUUGAAAAAUUUUUUUUUUUGAAAUACGAUUUAAAGGUCAAAAUAUGUGUCUUCCUCUACUCGGAUCGGGCUGUCAAAUUUUUUCUACACUUUCAGGUGUAUUUUGUGCAAGAAAUUGCAAUAAAAUAGUCUGCCUAAGAAAAAUUGAAUUUUUUUGAAAAUUUUUUUUUUUCGAAAAACGAUUUAAAGGUCAAAAUAUGUGUCUUCCUCUACUCGGAUCGGGCUGUCAAAUUUUUUCUACACUUUCAGGUGUAUUUUGUGCAAGAAAUUGCAAUAAAAUAGUCUGCCUAAGAAAAAUUGAAUUUUUUAAAAAAUUUUUUUUUUCGAAAUACGAUUUAAAGGUCAAAAUAUGUGUCUUCCUCUACUCGGAUCGGGCUGUCAAAUUUUUUCUACACUUUCAGGUGUAUUUUGUGCAAGAAAUUGCAAUAAAAUAGUCUGCCUAAGAAAAAUUGAAUUUUUUUGAAAAUUUUUUUUUUUCGAAAAACGAUUUAAAGGUCAAAAUAUGUGUCUUCCCCUACUCGGAUCGGGCUGUCAAAUUUUUUCUACACUUUUAGGUGUAUUUUGUGCAAGAAAUUGCAAUAAAAUAGUCUGCCUAAGAAAAAUUGAAUUUUUUUGAAAAUUUUUUUUUCGAAAAACGAUUUAAAGGUCAAAAUAUGUGUCUUCCCCUACUCGGAUCGGGCUGUCAAAUUUUUUCUACACUUUUAGGUGUAUUUUGUGCAAGAAAUUGCAAUAAAAUAGUCUGCCUAAGAAAAAUUGAAUUUUUUUGAAAAUUUUUUUUUUCGAAAAACGAUUUAAAGGUCAAAAUAUGUGUCUUCCUCUACUCGGAUCGGGCUGUCAAAUUUUUUCUACACUUUCAGGUGUAUUUUGUGCAAGAAAUUGCAAUAAAAUAGUCUGCCUAAGAAAAAUUGAAUUUUUUUGAAAAUUUUUUUUUUCGAAAAACGAUUUAAAGGUCAAAAUAUGGGUCUUCCUCUACUCGGAUCGGGCUGUCAAAUUUUUUCUACACUUUUAGGUGUAUUUUGUGCAAGAAAUUGCAAUAAAAUAGUCUGCCUAAGAAAAAUUGAAUUUUUUUGAAAAUUUUUUUUUUCGAAAAACGAUUUAAAGGUCAAAAUAUGUGUCUUCCUCUACUCGGAUCGGGCUGUCAAAUUUUUUCUACACUUUCAGGUGUAUUUUGUGCAAGAAAUUGCAAUAAAAUAGUCUGCCUAAGAAAAAUUGAAUUUUUUUGAAAAUUUUUUUUUUUCGAAAAACGAUUUAAAGGUCAAAAUAUGUGUCUUCCUCUACUCGGAUCGGGCUGUCAAAUUUUUUCUACACUUUCAGGUGUAUUUUGUGCAAGAAAUUGCAAUAAAAUAGUCUGCCUAAGAAAAAUUGAAUUUUUUUGAAAAUUUUUUUUUUUCGAAAAACGAUUUAAAGGUCAAAAUAUGUGUCUUCCUCUACUCGGAUCGGGCUGUCAAAUUUUUUCUACACUUUCAGGUGUAUUUUGUGCAAGAAAUUGCAAUAAAAUAGUCUGCCUAAGAAAAAUUGAAUUUUUUUGAAAAUUUUUUUUUUCGAAAAACGAUUUAAAGGUCAAAAUAUGGGUCUUCCUCUACUCGGAUCGGGCUGUCAAAUUUUUUCUACACUUUUAGGUGUAUUUUGUGCAAGAAAUUGCAAUAAAAUAGUCUGCCUAAGAAAAAUUGAAUUUUUUUGAAAAUUUUUUUUUUUCGAAAAACGAUUUAAAGGUCAAAAUAUGUGUCUUCCUCUACUCGGAUCGGGCUGUCAAAUUUUUUCUACACUUUCAGGUGUAUUUUGUGCAAGAAAUUGCAAUAAAAUAGUCUGCCUAAGAAAAAUUGAAUUUUUUUGAAAAUUUUUUUUUUUCGAAAAACGAUUUAAAGGUCAAAAUAUGGGUCUUCCUCUACUCGGAUCGGGCUGUCAAAUUUUUUCUACACUUUUAGGUGUAUUUUGUGCAAGAAAUUGCAAUAAAAUAGUCUGCCUAAGAAAAAUUGAAUUUUUUUGAAAAUUUUUUUUUUUCGAAAAACGAUUUAAAGGUCAAAAUAUGUGUCUUCCUCUACUCGGAUCGGGCUGUCAAAUUUUUUCUACACUUUUACGUGUAUUUUGUGCAAGAAAUUGCAAUAAAAUAGUCUGCCUAAGAAAAAUUGAAUUUUGUUGAAAAUUUUUCUCUUUUCGAAAAACGCUUAAAAGGUCAAAAUAGGGGUCUUCCUCUACUCGGAUCGGGCUGUCAAAUUUUUUCUACACUUUUAGGUGUAUUUUGUGCAAGAAAUUGCAAUAAAAAGUCUGCCUAAGAAAAAUUGAAUUUUUUGGGGAUAUUUUUUAAGGUUAUGUUAGAAUUUUGGGUGGUAAUAGGUGUCUUCUUCUACUUGUAUUUGGCUGUCAAUUUUUUUCUACACUUUUCGGAGUAUUUUGUGCAAGAAUUUGCUGUGAAAUCGUCUGUCUAAGAAAAAUUAAAUUUUUUAUGGAAUUUAGGUGUUUUUACGGGUAGUAGGGGUCUGUCUUUACUUCUAUCGGGGAGUCAAUUUUUUAAUACACUUUUG